Molecule: ribosomal RNA, 253 nt
Filed under: uncultured bacterium
Lineage: Bacteria
Description: partial 16S ribosomal RNA
Rfam family: Bacterial small subunit ribosomal RNA
Source: RNAcentral
UACGUAGGGGGCAAGCGUUGUCCGGAAUCAUUGGGCGUAAAGCGCACGUAGGCGGCUUUCUAAGUCAGGGGUGAAAUCCUGGAGCUCAACUCCAGAACUGCCUUUGAUACUGGAGAGCUUGAGUCCGGGAGAGGUGAGUGGAACUCCGAGUGUAGAGGUGAAAUUCGUAGAUAUUCGGAAGAACACCAGUGGCGAAGGCGGCUCACUGGCCCGGUACUGACGCUGAGGUGCGAAAGCGUGGGGAGCAAACAGG